RNAcentral lists this transfer RNA (72 nucleotides) under Polistes fuscatus (common paper wasp). RNAcentral's name for it is "tRNA-Glu". It matches the Rfam family "tRNA". From Rfam's summary of the family: Transfer RNA (tRNA) molecules are approximately 80 nucleotides in length. Their secondary structure includes four short double-helical elements and three loops (D, anti-codon, and T loops). Lineage: Eukaryota; Metazoa; Arthropoda; Insecta; Hymenoptera; Vespidae. The record is from RNAcentral. RNAcentral also lists the same sequence under 2 other names.
UCCGGUAUGGUCUAAUGGCUAGGAUACCUGGCUUUCACCCAGGAGGUUCGGGUUCGAUUCCCGGUACCGGAA